AGCAGCCGCGGUAAUUCCAGCUCCAAUAGCGUAUAUUAAAGUUGUUGCAGUUAAAAAGCCCGUAGUUGAAUUUCGGGAUUGACGUGAUGGUCAUGCCUUAAGGGGUAUGAACUGUUACAGUUGAUUUCUCACCUUCUGGAGAAACUUGAUGUCCUUUAUUGGGUGUCUUGCGGAUCCAGGACCUUUACCUUGAAAAAAUUAGAGUGUUUAAAGCAGGCAUUUUUGCUCGAAUACAUUAGCAUGGAAUAAUAGAAUAGGACGGCAUGGUUCUAUUUUGUUGGUUUCUAGGAUCACCGUAAUGAUUAAUAGGGAUAGUUGGGGGCAUUAGUAUUCAAUUGUCAGAGGUGAAAUUCUUGGAUUUAUUGAAGACUAACUACUGCGAAAGCAUUUGCCAAGGAUGUUUUCAUUAAUCAAGAACGAAAGUUAGGGGAUCGAAGACGAUCAGAUACCGUCGUAGUCUUAACCAUAAACUAUGCCGACUAGGAAUCAGACGAUGUUAAUUUUUAAUGACUCGUUUGGC
Molecule: ribosomal RNA, 520 nt
Filed under: uncultured Entrophospora
Lineage: Eukaryota; Fungi; Glomeromycota; Glomeromycetes; Entrophosporales; Entrophosporaceae
Description: SSU rRNA
Rfam family: Eukaryotic small subunit ribosomal RNA
Source: RNAcentral